Molecule: ribosomal RNA, 353 nt
Filed under: Terebra laevigata
Lineage: Eukaryota; Metazoa; Mollusca; Gastropoda; Neogastropoda; Terebridae
Description: partial 12S ribosomal RNA
Source: RNAcentral
UUUUUACCAGAGUACUAUGAAUGCUGUAAAUUUAAAACUCAAAGAACUUGGCGGUGUUUUAGACCACUCAGGGGAACCUGUCUCGUAAUCGACAAUCCACGUUGUACCUGACCUUUUUUUGUUUUCAGUUUGUAUACCGUUGUCGUCAGGUAACUUUUUAGAAUACAGAAGUUGGCUGGAAAAAUAUAUAAUUUAGUACGUCAAAUCAAGGUGCAGCUUAUAGAAAGGGGAGGAUGGGUUACAAUUAUUAAUUUAUAAUUACGAAUGAUUAUGUUAAAGUGUAAUGUUAGAAGGAGGACUUGAAAGUAAAUUGGAUUUAUAAAAAUAAAUUUGAAUAAGGCUCUGAAACGUGU